GCCGGCGUAGCUCAGUUGGUAGAGCAGCGCAUUCGUAAUGCGAAGGUCGGGGGUUCGACUCCUCUCGCCGGCA
Molecule: non-coding RNA, 73 nt
Organism: Thiobacillus sp. SCN 63-374
Lineage: Bacteria; Pseudomonadati; Pseudomonadota; Betaproteobacteria; Nitrosomonadales; Thiobacillaceae
Source: Rfam